Quercus robur (English oak) is the source of this 691-nucleotide long non-coding RNA. RefSeq lists it as uncharacterized. Lineage: Eukaryota; Viridiplantae; Streptophyta; Magnoliopsida; Fagales; Fagaceae. The record is from RefSeq and is a predicted model, not a curated record. The transcript is spliced from 2 exons.
ACUGGUACGUACCACUAUCCAAGACCCCCACUAUUACUUCUUCGCCGUAUUUAGCUUUGGACAGUAAGUCUCCUCCGCUCCAGGGAUACUUUGGUUUUGUAUCUAAGCCUAAAAACUCCCAUGACCUUGUGAUAAUUGGGAGGCUUCUUCGGGUGUGAGCAAUGCUGCGAAGCCAUUGAUGCUAUGCUUGUAGCUGUAAAUAAGGGAGGCUCUAGCUUCUUCCUCAUUCUUUUUUACAGAGAGCAAAUAUGAAUGAUGGGUGUCUUUUAUCUCAUUCAAUGUAUUUUCUCCACUAUGCUCUCCAAAGUACACUAUGUAAACCUGUGGUGGCCAAAAACAUUGUGUAAAAACAAAACAUUUCGUAGAAUAAUGAAGCUUAAAAACAAACAAAACAAAGCGAUUUGCUUAAGAAAAAACCUGUUGUUCUACACAUGAGGCUAAGAGUGGAAGCAGGAGGAUGAAGAUUAUGGGGAUUCUCUUCAUUGUUGCUAAAAUGCUAAUAGUAUCUUAAACUCAUGUAUAACUAGUAUUUAUAUAUGUUCAGAGAAUCUUUUCUUUCUAAAGAACAAACCAUUCUCUCUAAAAAUUAAUCAGUCCCACUUUUAGAGUUUGUAGUAGAGAGGGACCUGGAUAUUGCGCUGUCUGAUGAAUAUUGUGGACUAUGUAUAAGCUUCCCUUUCAUAUGGAAUCA